GUACAAAGGGAAGAAUAGGCAAAAAGCAGUGAGAAAUUCUUAAUAUCAGUCCUUCCAGCCUUGCUUACUCAGACAGAACAUUGUAAAAUCAGCAUCUGUGCUAUCUUCUGUACUAUAAUGUGAGCUAUGCCAUGCGAUUUCUAGAUCCAUCACAGAAAGGCACACAACCUUACCUGAAAUAACAAAUGGCUAAUGGUACCUUGCUCUGCAUUAAACUAUCCAACCAAGACCAGCUAAUUAAAGGCAGGCUAGAUUUAGUUAUUUUCAUCAAAGAUGAUCUUUUUGAAAUAAGGCAUUUGUUCAGACGUUGUCAUGUGUAGUGGGAAUGUUAAGUCCUGGCAUGAACCAGUGAUUGAGCACCUGGUGGGAAGGCAGGGCCAACCCAGAGGAGCUCAAGUGCAUGCAACAAACCUGAGAGACCAGAAGGGGUGGAGCCAUGAUCUACCCCUUCCCAGACCUCAUUUAAGGGUUGGUAGCAGAGGUGAGGGUAUCUUCCUGGAGUUCUUGAGAUCCCUGUUUACCUGAGGUCUUCCAAAGGUGAGUGUUGAGUUGUUUUUGUUGGGUUUGUUUGUUUGUUUCCCCCCCUCCUUUCUUUAUUUCUGUGAUUGUAGUUGCUGCAUUAGGGCUUGUUCUCAUUCCUUUUAGCCUUGGGUUGUGUCACUCUGUUAUUAUGUCAGUGCUUUCCAUUGUGUUACCAUGUUUCAUCAGGCUAAGAUGUGGGGCAGCCAGCACUGAAGGAAAAAGGCAGGAGACCAUUCCUAAACCUCUUGAGACACUAGGGGAUAUACGUGGUAGAGCUGCCGCCACACAGGGUAUCUCAUCAUGUACUGUGUACCAGAGGUACCUGAACUGUUGCCCAUGGAUAGCAGGUAGACGUAAAGACCUACAGAAGACCUUUGUACUUUGCGUCUUUCAUCUGAAGGCCAGAUGGGAUUGUUUAAGCACUGGACACCUGUGUUUAGUUUGUUGCAGUCCAGUGACACGUUUCACUUGCUCAGAGCUUUUCUCUAGAACACUCACGACCAUGUUAAAACAGUUGGAAGGCUGACUUUUCACAGCAGUAUCUAUGCACCACCCACAGCACUGAACCUUUCUUCCUAAUUCUUGUUUAAGUUACGAAGAAGCAAAGAAACAUUUUGCAGUGGAGCGAUGCCAGCUUUCACCACCUGGAUUUGUGUGUUUAAUAUUAAUUAAACUAAGGUAAAUAACACACCGAGAAAAUGAAUACUGAGAAAUUCACCUACCGAUUGUUUCUGGGAUUCCAGUAUACAAUUAUGUAUCAGUUCUUGUUCUACUAAGGGAUCGAUACUAAAAAAUGAUUCUAAGUUAUUUGCCAUCUUUCUAAUGAAAUAUUCCAGUAAAACUGUGGCAGUAUUGUCUUGAUCUUGGACUGAGCUCUCUGUGGCAAAAGCAUGGGUUUAAUUUGAGGGCAAUCAGAUGCUAAUUUUUACGACACAUCUUGUUUAUCUAUGGUAAUUUACUGCAAAAGAAAUUUCAACGGUAGAACGCAAGCAGGAAAAACAAAGCAGUCUGGCUCAAAUUUCCUUCACACUCUUUGAAUAGGGGCUGUACUGAGCAUGUAAAUCAGAUCAGUGGCCUUAAAGAAGCGUUGAGGUCUCUAAAAGGCUCUAAAUGGAGGUAUGUCUUACUAUCCUUGCAUCAUUCCCACAGUCCCACUGGCUAAUGGGACUGAAUUUGGUCUCUUCCUCUGCUCUGUAAUCUAGCUAUAGUCUUGUUCUCUUCCUUUGUGUAUAAUGUGAGGGGACAGAGACACGUUUGUCCUUCUGUUCAAAGCUUCCCCCUUUAUUUUAGCCUCACAACAAUGCCAAGCAAGAAGAGGGCUAUUUGCAACUUAACGAUUCAAAAGGUAACCUGGCAUUGGGGUGAAUGUGGGCACUGCUGCUCUUUUAAAAAACAAGGAGUUCUUUGAACAGUGAAGUUAACAAAACCUUGUUUCUUACAGCUUUAAACACUGUGAUUUGACCUCAGUGUCUUCAUCUCCCUCUCCAUUUUAUGCUUCCUUCAUUUAUCCUCCCUUUUUAAAUUUAAUUUCUUUUUCCCCUCUUAAUUCCUCUCCCCAGGAAUUGCAAUACAACAGUUCUUUCCACUUUUUUUUUCUGUGCUUUACUCUUGCUCCCUAUUUUUCAUACUAUCCGGAAGCUACAUGUACACUGUAUGGCCAGUUGAACACAGUCUGGUGUGAAGGAAAAUGUUUAGGGAUAUGUCUUGGAUAUUCCCUGGGAUAGUUUCUUAUCAGAGACUUUCUGGGGACAUUACACCACUCUCCUUUGAGACUGCACUAUCAGCUUGAAAAUUUGACAUCACUGAAGUUGGAGAAAUCUUAAAUACAUUCAAUUUUUUUUUUUUCUAUAUUUGAAGUGAUUUGGACCAAUAUCUGCCAAGACUGAUUUACCCGUCACUAAUACUUUUGUUUGGGAAAUAUCUGAAGCAUUACUGGUGGAUCAAGGAAGUAACAUUGUUGCACAGAAACUUGCUUGCUCAUUUCAGUGGCAACAAAAGGACUACUUCUGUUUUUUGUUUGUUUGUUUGUUUUUUGUUUUUUCCUUCCCCCAUGAAAACUGUGUGAUUUUUUAAUUCAAAUAAGGGUUAAUUAAAUUUUAAAGCACUCCUUGUACUUUAAUGUGAGUGGGUGUCUGCUUGAUCACAAGGAAAUAUUAAUUCUCUAUCCUAACCCUUGUUACAUAAACAUCUGAGUGACUUUUUCAUUACUACAGCAAUACAACACACUCUUUCUGUUUUUGUCUACAGCUGCAGAUUGACUUGAAGGCAGAAAUCUUUUUAUUAAAUUGUCUAUUACAUUAAAUACUUUGGUAAUUGUAUUAGUGUCUUACUUCAUGAAAAAUGAUCUCUUACUAAUUUAUUUAGUGGAAAGGUCUUCUAUUUUACAAUACCUUGUGUAGAAAUAUUCUGAAAGAAGGCCAGAUAGGUAUUCUGAAAGAAGUGUCAGAAGAUUUACAUUUUAUAUUCUGAUACAGAUUUACUGGCUGGUCUGUUUAGCAUUCUCAGAGUAAUUUUGUCAUCACUAUAAUAUUUAAGAUUCUCAGAGUGAAAGGUCAGAAGGAGUCAUUCUAUCACCUUGCUUGAUUUGUGGUUUCUUCACAGAAUCAUAGAAUCUUUUGAGUUGGAAGGGACCUUUAAAGGUCAUCCAGUCUAACUCUUCUGCAAUGAACAGCAAAGCUACAGGUAGAUCAGGUUGCUCAGAGCCCACUCCAUCCUGACUCUGGGUGUCUCCAAGAAUGGGGCACCCACCACCUCUCUGGGCAACCUGUGCCUCACCACCCUUACUGUAAACAUCUUCCUUAUAUCCAAUCUAAAUCUCCCCUCCUUAAUUUGAAAUUAUUUCCCAUGUCUUGUCACAACAGACCCUAUGAAAGAAUCUGUCCUCUUCUUUCUUACAGCCAAUACAAGAACUAUAGGUGAGAGAACCUCUUUUUAGUCCAUAGAAAUAUCAUGGUUUUUGUCCUUUUUAAAUUCAUUUCCAAGUACAUCAAAAACAAGAAGACAGUUUGAGGGAUGCCUUAUAUGAUCAAAUACCUUCAGUGCUGGAUGAGCAGGGGGUAGUAGAUGCAAUGUCUUGAUUUCAGUGAGAUUUUUUAUACUGCCUCUUUCAGCAUGUUCAUUUAGAAGGUGAGUGUCAUGUGGACUGGAUAAAGGACUCUUGUGUGGCUUAAAACAGGCCAGGAUGGUUUUAUUUUUAGUAGUAUAAUGAGUGAAUAAAUAAAAUAGAUAAACACUGAGGCCCA
RNAcentral lists this long non-coding RNA (3764 nucleotides) under Coturnix japonica (Japanese quail). RNAcentral describes it as "lncRNA (ENSCJPG00005004350.1)". Lineage: Eukaryota; Metazoa; Chordata; Aves; Galliformes; Phasianidae. The record is from RNAcentral.